AGGCAUGGUAUUAAUAGGUAUAUGAAUAUGGGAUUAAUGUAACAAAUAUUUAUGAAUACCUACUCUAUCCAAGGCAUUUUUCUGGGUACUAGGGAAAUAUCAACAAACAAAACCGAAAAAAAUCCCUGACUUAAUGGAAUCAGUGUUCUAAUACAAGACAUCAGCAAUUAAAGGAUCAUUAACAUUCCCUUUCCUAGCCAAGGAAAGGAGUGACAGAUGGCACCUGGAAAAUCGGGUCACUCCCACCCUAAUACUGCGCUUUUCCAACCAUCUUAGCAAACGGC
Molecule: long non-coding RNA, 284 nt
Filed under: Pan troglodytes (chimpanzee)
Lineage: Eukaryota; Metazoa; Chordata; Mammalia; Primates; Hominidae
Description: long non-coding RNA NONPTRT015036
Source: RNAcentral